UAAAGAAGAUAACGGAGAACAAGACCAAAUAAAAAGCACGAGAGUAAAUGAGACUCACGCAACCCCCAACCCAAGGAACAAACGGAACUGUGGCAGUUGCGAUGCUUGGAAGUUAGAAGAGGGUUCAGAUUCCGAGAAAGGAAGAAAUGUACGGUGGUGGUGAAUCUGAAUCUGAUGACAGGCACAGUAACAUGGGGACGAGGGUGGGUGGUGAUGAUGAAGAACAAGGUUCGUUCAAGAGUUGGGCCAAACAAACGGAAGAGAGCUAUCAGUUACAACUAGCUCUCGCGCUUCGCCUUUCCUCUAACUCCGCUUCUUCUUCAGAUCACUCCGCCCAGACACUCUCACACCACUUUUGGGUGAAUGGUUGUUUGCAAUACUGUGACAAAAUUCUAGAUGGCUUUUACCUAAUCCAUGGGAUGGAUGCUUAUACAUGGACACUAAGUACUGAUCCGCAGAAUGUUGGUAUGAUUCCAUCAUUUGAAUCACUGAUGUCAGUUGAACCUGGUGAUGACUCAUCAAUUGUAGUGGUUGCUAUAGAUAAAGCCAGAGAUCCUGGAUUGAGAGAACUGCAAAGUAGGGUAGUAAGUCUCUCAAAUAACUGGAUUACUACAAAAGAUGCGACUGAUCAGCUUGCAAAUCUUGUUUGCAGUAGGAUGGGGGGAGUAUCUUCAAUGGAAGAUAAUUUAGGUACACGCUGGAAGGAAUGCACCCAAAUUCUUAAAAGCUGCCUGCAUUCUGUCAUUCUUCCAAUUGGAAGCUUACCCAUUGGCCUUUGUGUCCAUCGAGCAUUGCUGUUUAAAGUGUUAGCUGAUGUAGUUAAUCUACCAUGUCGUAUUGCAAAGGGCUGUAAGUAUUGUAGGAAGGAUGUGGGUGCUUCAUGUAUAGUGCAAUUUGGUUCUGAGAGGGAGUAUAUAAUUGAUUUAGUUGGAAGGCCUGGGGCAACAUGCCAACCUGAUUCUUCACUGAAUUCUGCAUCUUCAAUGUUGAUCCCUUCACCAUUAUGUCAUCCAAAGUUCAAGCCAGUUGAAACAGCUGAAUUUACAAAGACACUAGCUCAAAUGUAUUUCUUGGACAGUCAAGCACUGCAUCUUGUAUUUGAUACCACAUCAGGAGCUGCUGUUAACCAUAGUGAAAGAAUGGAUCUACAGAGAACUGAAGCUUUUGGGGCAGAUUAUGCUGGUGGAAACAGCCAUUUGUUUACUUUGAGUCCUGGUAUGGAGGAAUAUAUGUCCUUCAGUGAAGCAAACCAAUCUGUAAAGGAUUAUCCAAUUCAUGAAGUAGACCUUGACGAGGAGGAUCUGGAUAUUCCAUGGAGUGAACUUAUUUUGAAGGAGAACAUUGGGACAGGGUCAUUUGGAACUGUCCUUCGCGCGGACUGGCGUGGUUCUGAUGUUGCAGUGAAGAUUCUUAAAGCACAAGGUUUUGAUUCUGAACGAUUUGAGGAAUUUCUAAAGGAGGUCUCACUUAUGAGGAGCCUACGACAUCCAAACAUUGUACUUUUAAUGGGUGCAGUUAUUCAACCCCCAAAGUUAUCAAUAGUAACAGAAUAUUUAUCAAGAGGCAGUUUGUUCGAACUUCUGCGUAUGCCUAAUGUUGAAUUAUCACUUAGUGAGAAGCGUCGUUUGAGUAUGGCUUUUGAUGUGGCAAAUGGAAUGAAUUAUCUUCAUCAAAGGAGACCUCCCAUUGUCCAUAGAGAUUUGAAGUCUCCUAAUCUUUUGGUUGAUGAUUCGUACACUGUUAAGGUGGGUGACUUUGGGCUUUCACGUACAAAGGCAAACACAUUUCUUUCAUCUAAAACUGCAGCUGGGACUCCUGAAUGGAUGGCACCAGAAGUCAUACGAGGUGAACCAUCAAAUGAAAAAUGUGAUGUAUUUAGCUUUGGUGUAAUCUUGUGGGAACUAGUGACCUUGCAACAACCAUGGAGACAAUUCAAUCCUUCACAGGUUGUGGCUGCUGUUGGUUUCAUGGGAAAAAGGCUAGAGAUUCCAAGCCAUGUGAAUCCUCAAGCGGCUGCCUUGAUUGAGCUCUGCUGGGCCACUGAACCAUGGAGACGGCCUUCUUUCUCCCAUGUUAUGAAAUGUUUGCAGCAAAUAAUUGAUGAUGCUACAGGGUGAACAACUUCAUGCAGAUAAUCCACAAUCCGAAUACAUACGAGAAAUGGCAAUACUGAACAGGAAAAUAAAUGGGAUUUCAGUUUAUUCAGCAUUCUAAAAACGGUGAAUGAGGAAGGGACAAUGCCAUUAGCAACAACUUUUUCAUCUUCCAACCACUCUCCCCAACCCAUGGAAUGUUGCACGAGGUGGGUCCUCCUCCAUUUCUCACCAACACCUUCAACGACAUCGAAGACCCUUCCACCGAUUCCAUCGUUUCGUGUGGCAGAGCACGAAACAGUUUCGUCGUUUGGAACUCUCCCAAGUUCUCAACCACCAUUUUACAUCAUUACUUCAAACACAGCAAUUUCUCCAGCUUCGCAUGUCAUCUCAACACAUACGUAAGUAAAUUUGGCGGGACAGAAGCAUUUGUUGAAGACGAUAAAGAGAAGAAGGAACGUGACACAACCACAAAGUGUGGGUGGAGGUUGAACAGUUGAGGAGAGAUAGAACGGUGUUGAUGGCUGAAAUUGUUAAGUUGAGGCAGCAAUAGAACAAUUCAAAGGAGCAAGUGUUGACCAUGAAAGCAAGGUUGUAAGCUACUGAGAAGAAACAUCAAUAGAUGAUGACUUUUCUUGUUAAAGCACUUAGUAAUCAAUCUAUUGUGCAACAACAACUACAUAGGAAUGCUCAGAACAGAGAAUUGUAGGGUGUUAGGAGAAAGAGGAGACUCACUGCUUCUCCUAGUAUGGAGAAUUUGCAAUUGGAUCAAGAUCCUGUGAUUGCUACAAUUCCAUUUAAGAACAAGAUGUAGAAGAGUUGGCAACUAUUGAGUCCCAUAUGGAGUCUUUUUUUUUUUUUUUCUUAUGACGAUGAAUUGAGCAAUCAAAUCAAAGACCCAAUAUCGGGUUUAGUAUCAAUUGCAAGUGUGGAUGAUGUAAUCUUUUCUAUUCCUUUAUUCAUGAUUUCUGCUUAAAGCGAAAAUCGCUUAUUCACUUAUGGGAAAAUAAAACUAGUCUGUUUUUG
This is an RNA transcript of Abrus precatorius (Indian licorice), 3119 nucleotides long. It is a transcript of the gene named serine/threonine-protein kinase CTR1-like, with no coding region annotated. The transcript is spliced from 17 exons. The record is from RefSeq and is a predicted model, not a curated record. NCBI's taxonomy places the organism in Eukaryota, Viridiplantae, Streptophyta, Magnoliopsida, Fabales, Fabaceae.